Long non-coding RNA from Etheostoma cragini (Arkansas darter), 838 nucleotides. RefSeq lists it as uncharacterized. The record is from RefSeq and is a predicted model, not a curated record. Lineage: Eukaryota; Metazoa; Chordata; Actinopteri; Perciformes; Percidae. The transcript has 2 exons.
CGGUCACAGCCCAGGAAAGUUACUUGAUUGGCUGGGCUUCGGGGGUGAGCGCGGAGAUAAGUUGGCUAGGCCUAAUAACAGGUGUGUUAGGGACUGCCCAUCAACCAAAACCACUUGUGUGCUGACUGAGGGAAAAAGGGUUGUGGAGGACUGGUCGUGCUGAGAUUAACGUCAGUAGUUUACAGACUGUUUUGGUGUUACUUACUAUCCGUUUUCUAGCUAUGCUAGAAACAGUGCUAAAACUAAAGUAGCGCAUUUUUGCUGAGUUUUGACGGGACACGGGUGAGCUAGCUGCAGUGCUAAGCUAGUGAGUUCAUGUGAAUUCGAAUCCGUGGAUCAACAAUCGCAACCAAGGCAACAGGGACCAGUCGUCUCUCCGCCGUUGCUAAGGAGGAGCUGUUUCCCAGCAACCAGCCGUUUCCAGCCUCAAGUGACUGUGAGAAACAUAGCUAGCUAGCUAACUGCAAGUUGCCACUCGGCAUCAUGAGCAAGCGUCUGCAGGGAGCCAUAACUGCCACCAAAGGCCUUUUAAAUCCUUGGAUUUGAUGGCUUGAGGAUUCGGCAGGAGGAUUCAAAAAGGGAUGAAGAGAAAAUUGCACAUUCUAAAGAAAACUGAGCAUUUGCAUCCCUGUGUCAGGAUGAAAGGGAGAAGAAAUGGAAAUGCAUACUAAUUCGUCAUUGGCUUUUACUGCUCCUUGAUGGUCCAUAACUCACUCUGACCAUGAUUCCCUUUUCCCCUUCUUACUGCUGGAUUCAAAAUCCACUACGCCAUGUUUUAAUGACGUUAUUGUAGGCAAAUCUACACUGUCCAAUAAAAACUUUACACUUUGAACUGUGA